CGAAAGUAGCCCUGUCUCCUUAUAGCCCUUAAAAACUUAUCUCUAGGUGAAAACCCCUAGAUAAAUUUAAAAGACAAAAAGACCCUGUAGAGCCUUACUUAACAAUAUUUUUGUGACCUCUUAACCCACUCGUCAACAAAUAUUUAAAGUCUAGAUGGGGCAUCUGAGGCCUAUCAAAACCGCCCUUCUUCUUAAAACAAUACACCUAUUCCGAUCCUUAAUCCAAAGACCAAAGAAACAGGUUACCUCAGGGAUAACAGACUAAUCUUCCUUGCAAGCCCGUAUUAACAGGAAGGCUUGGCACCUCGAUGUUGGCUUAGGAA
This 323-nucleotide ribosomal RNA is filed under the name Levinsenia sp. A JL-2018. RNAcentral describes it as "partial large subunit ribosomal RNA". It matches the Rfam family "Bacterial large subunit ribosomal RNA", at positions 2005 to 2543 of the family's 2925-position model. The record is from RNAcentral. Lineage: Eukaryota; Metazoa; Annelida; Polychaeta; Paraonidae.